GGGGUGCAACUCCCCCGCGUCCACGAGUUUCCCGCGGCCAGCUUCCCACCACAAAGCUCGUCUCCCUCCCUCUUGCUCGGUGCGGCGCUCUCUGAUUGUCCCCGCGCGGUUGCGUGCUCGGCCCUGCGCUUAUAUGCACCACUCGCGCUCGCCUGCUUCUGGAUCCCUCUCCUCCUCCUCGCCAGUCCCACCUCCCCUUCUUCCUCGCAGCAGCCUUAUCUCUUCUCCGGCUCAGCCUAGCAAAAGCGCUCUCCGGCCAGCGAGAAAGCAAGAAGGCGGAGGCAUGAAGAUCCAGUGCGACUCGUGCGGCGUCGCGGCGGCCACGGUGGUGUGCUGCGCGGACGAGGCGGCGCUGUGCGCGCGCUGCGACGUGGAGAUCCACGCCGCUAACAAGCUCGCCAGCAAGCACCAGAGGCUCCCGCUCGACGCGCUCGGCGCCAAGCUCCCGCGCUGCGACAUCUGCCAGGAGAAGGCCGCCUUCAUCUUCUGCGUCGAGGACCGGGCGCUCUUCUGCCGCGACUGCGACGAGCCCAUCCACGUCCCCGGCACGCUCUCCGGGAACCACCAGCGCUACCUCGCCACCGGCAUCCGCGUCGGCCUCGGCCCCGUCUCCGCCUGCGCCGCCGGGGACCACGGCGCCGCCCACGACGCCGACCACCACGCCCCGCCCAAGGUCUCCUGCGAGCCCCAGCCCGCCGCCCGCGCGCAGCAGGUCCCCUCGCCGCCGCAGUUCCUGCCGCAGGACUGGGCCGUCGACGAGCUCCUGCAGUUCUCGGACUACGAGUCCAGCGACAAGCUGCACAAGGACUCGCCUCUCGCCUUCAAGGAGCUGGAGUGGUUCACCGCGGACAUGGAGCUCUUCCACGACCACGCGCCCAAGGGCGGCAGGGCGACCAUGGAGGUCCCCGAGUUCUUCGCCUCGCAGGCGGCAGACGACGCGGCCUACUACAGGCCGAGCAGAGUCGCCGCCACCGCCGGCGUGCGCCAGAGCAAGAAGGCCCGCGUCGAGAUCCCCGACGACGAGGACUUCUUCAUCGUGCCUGAUCUUGGCUAAGCGAUGCUCCUAGAUGCUAGUACCUCCUCGUGUGAUUUUGCAGUGUUGUUGUAUACAGAGAGGAGCUGUGUACAAAAGCUAGUCUUCUGUCGAACUGUGCCCCUGUGCAUCUUGACGUAGCAUCGCUGAACUGUGACAUAUAAUAAUUAUUAUCGUAAGAUAUGAGCUUUGCAAAAUGGACGCUUUUGAUGUACCUCUGUACUUUUGCACUAGUUAGAGCAUCUCUAGUGGCUUGUGUAAAUUUGGUAGUCUAUAUCUUCACAUACACAAUGGUGUAAUUCUUUUUCAUUUUAGACAACCUCAGUUUUUCAGUGGAUUGUCUAAAUUUGGUAGUCUAUGUCUCCAACGGCUAUAUUUUCAACAGCUACUUUUCCAACGACUAUUUCCAACGGCUAUAUUCCAGGUCUAUAUAUACCAUCCCUUCCACCUCUCAUUCAUCAAUCCUGAUUGUGCCUUCUCAUUCCUCUCCUGAAUUCCUUUGUCUUCUCUCACACAACAGAAUGAUGAGUGAAAACAUUUCUUCUUUGGAUAUGCUCAUGAAUUCGUCGUCGUCUUCAUCUGACGACGACGAACUCAUUCUUGUAGCAUUCGCAGAGCGCGAGAAGGAAGAGCAGAGGAAUCGUCGACGCCAUGGCGGUUCCAAGCAUGGACGUCAGACAAUCAAUCGAGCAAGAGAUGCAGGAUUUGUUCUACUAUGGAAUGACUACUUCAAAGAAAGUCCUCGCUAUCCCGAAAACUUAUUUCGGCGAAGGGUCAAACAAAGGAUGUGGAACGAGCCUUUGGAGUUUUGCAAUCCCGUUUUGCCAUUGUCCGAGGACCUGCGAAAGGAUGGAAACGUAAAGAAAUCGGUGAUGUCAUGAAAGCUUGUGUCAUAAUGCACAAUAUGACAGUUGAAGACGAACGACACACUGGUCAGCAAAACAACACUUAUGAGGCAAUGGGAGAAAGAGUCAGGGUGUCCUCUACUCAUGCGGAAGAGCUGAGUGCAUUUAUUCAGAUGCAUCAGCAAAUUAGAAACAAAGAUGAACAUUCUCAGCUUCAAGAUGAUCUAGUUGAGCACCUCUGGCAGAAGUUUGGAC
RNAcentral lists this ribosomal RNA (2133 nucleotides) under Triticum aestivum (bread wheat). RNAcentral describes it as "partial small subunit ribosomal RNA". Lineage: Eukaryota; Viridiplantae; Streptophyta; Magnoliopsida; Poales; Poaceae. The record is from RNAcentral.